This 212-nucleotide long non-coding RNA is filed under the name Elaeis guineensis (African oil palm). Its description in RNAcentral is "long non-coding RNA (EGUI_LNC077304)". The record is from RNAcentral. Lineage: Eukaryota; Viridiplantae; Streptophyta; Magnoliopsida; Arecales; Arecaceae.
GGUGUAGACAAGUACUUGACUUGUUGGUGCGUGUGUCAAGAUGGGAUUGACCACUCUAGUUUAGGAGCUGUGUACAGUCGUGUUUCAAUUUAGCAAAACCUUGGCCAUAGUAGUCUUUGUGAGGAGUCACAGACUGUUUGAGUUGAGCACGAUUCGGAUGAUCUAAUCAGGGUUGACAGUUUAACCCAGAGUCAUCAUAAACACAGAGGUUA